This 498-nucleotide ribosomal RNA is filed under the name uncultured bacterium. RNAcentral's name for it is "bacterial SSU rRNA". It matches the Rfam family "Bacterial small subunit ribosomal RNA", at positions 29 to 518 of the family's 1533-position model. The record is from RNAcentral.
AUGAACGCUAGCGACAGGCCUAACACAUGCAAGUCGAGGGGCAGCACAAGGAGCAAUCUGAGGUGGCGACCGGCGCACGGGUGAGUAACACGUAUGCAACCUGCCUGUAAGCGGGGAAUAACCCGUUGAAAGACGGACUAAUACCGCAUAAUACUAAAUUACUGCAUGGUAAAUUUAUUUAAACAUUUAUGGCUUACAGAUGGGCAUGCGCAUGAUUAGCUAGUUGGAGAGGUAACGGCUCCCCAAGGCAACGAUCAUUAGGGGUCCUGAGAGGAAGGUCCCCCACACUGGUACUGAGACACGGACCAGACUCCUGCGGGAGGCAGCAGUGAGGAAUAUUGGUCAAUGGACGAGAGUCUGAACCAGCCAAGUCGCGUGCAGGAAGAAUGUUCCCUAUGGAUUGUAAACUGCUUUUGCGAGGGGAAUAAAGUGCAUCACGUGUGAUGUUUUGUAUGUACUCUGCGAAUAAGGAUCGGCUAACUCCGUGCCAGCCGCUGC